UGCAGGACCAUUGUUUCCCUUCAGCAAGCGCUAGUAGCAACUUGCAGAAUUGACUGUUGGGGGAGAAGCUGAGGCGAUGCUGCCGGAUCUUUCUAUCCCAUUUUACUGCUAAACUCAGCCAGGAGACGUGGGUGCUAGAGACUUCUGGAGUUUCAUUUGGAUUCUGUGGGGUUGUAAUUUAUUCCCAAUUCUCUGGAGAGAUAGGUGGGCUAGGGUCUAGGUAGGAUAGCAAAACUCUGUCCCUGAAGGACUUUAUUUAUUUAUUUUUUAAAAAAGAAAGCCCCAGUUUCGUUCGCCAGUGCAGUUCUCCUAGGAGGGACAGGGAAGGAAGGUGUGUAGAUUCUAUACGUUGUAGGUUCCAUACGUCCUUCUGUCCUUGUUGGGAUUUGGGCUUGUUUCCUCAUUGCUGCCUCUCCUUUUCCCUUCCUUUCUUCCCAUCCCUGGGGGUCUCUAGUGAAGCGAUACUGGCGACACCUGCCUGCCUGUAUUCGACGUUGGGACUCACACCUUUUUUCCCUGGUGACAGUGUCAGGAGUAGUUGGGGCGGGGGUGGUGGGGUACUUAGGGAACCGCAGGUUUCCUGGGACCAUUCGGAACACUCUAGAGCCAUUGCAGUUGUCCAAGAGUUGCUGUUAACUGGACUCCAGGAGCCAGAGCGAAGUCACAAGCAGCUGGAGAGAGAGCGAGCUGCCGGAGACGUGCCAACAACAACAACCUUGCUACCAGGACGGAGGAACCAGGGUUAUCUCUGGAAAGGGAAGAAAGAGAUAAUAGGAGAGACCGAGAUCCCUCCGGUCUCUCCCAGUGUGUCUGCCCUAAGCUCCAGCAACAUCUUCCCCUUGCUAACCAUCCGGUGAGACCCCAGGAUUUCGGGAUGACCGGGAAACUAGACAAUUCGUGGAGGAUGCUGCUUUCCUGAAGGUGAACCUCCAAUUUGCCUUUCCCAGGAGAGAGAGGGAGAGAGGGAAGGCGGGAGGAAAGAACAGGGAGUUGGUGUGCCUGUCUGGGUGUGAGAGGGAAAGGGAGAGAAAAAGAGAGGACAGAGAGAAAGAGAGGCAGCUUGUGACAAGGAUAAGUCUUUGCUCGACAUUAAAAGCAAACAAAUCGGGACCGGUAUAAGAGAGGUAAUAGCUGGAAGAGGCUCUUAGAUUCCGGCAGUUGGGAGGCUGAGCUGGACCUCACCACUCCACCGGGGACCCGUGGCGGGGGCCAGCGGAGCUGUCCAGGGCGCAGGGACUUGGGCUGUCUCAAUCAACAAAUCUUUUGAUUACUUUAGCGUUGUAGGGGCAAAAAAAAAUUUAAAGAAAGAAAGAAAAAAGGAGAAGAGGGAGACGCGCGCAUACUACCCACCACCUGCUUUGGGAAUUCCAAUUUGGAUUUCAGGAGAUUCCUGAAACCUCCCUUUGCCAUCCAAAAGGAGGAAAUACACUCACGCGCACGCACGCACACACACACACACACACACACACACACACACACACACGCACGCACUCACUCACACACUCACACAUACACACACACGCGCGCGCGCACACAGGGUCACACUCACACGCCCGCUCCAAGCACACACCAGACCGCAGGUCCCUAUGCCCCUGGAUGGUGAAGGUGGAUUGGGAUUUGGCAAACGAUGCAAGAACGAUAAGGCUGGCGCUGGCCCCCGGAAGCUACAGGAGCAUCGCUAGGUGUUGCCACAGGGAAGCGGGGCUGCAGGGCUGGCAUUGUGAAAGUGGCUAUUUAAGAAGAACAGCAUCUCAGGUCCUAGCAUCUCAAAGGUGCUUGGGAAAAAGCUCCUUCUUGGAAGAUUACCAACACUUACAUAUAGGAUUUCUGUGGUUAAAAAAGUCCACUGAGUUCUCCUCAUUCUACCAGCAGGGGGCAUGUUUCACAGCCCUGCUUCUUUAUGCCCAUCGACUAAAGGAUGAAUAAGAGAUACUUACAGAAAGCAACAAAAGGAAAGCUGUUAAUAAUAAUAUUUAUUCUAACCUUGUGGGGCAAACUAGCAUCUGGUGCAAACCACCAUAAAGCUCACCAUGUUAAAACCGGAACCUGCGAGGUGGUGGCACUCCAUAGAUGUUGUAAUAAGAACAAGAUAGAAGAAAGGUCACAGACGGUCAAGUGCUCAUGCUUCCCAGGACAGGUGGCAGGCACCACUCGAGCUGCUCCUUCUUGUGUUGAUGCUUCAAUAGUGGAGCAGAAAUGGUGGUGUCACAUGCAGCCAUGUCUUGAAGGAGAGGAAUGUAAAGUUCUUCCAGAUCGGAAAGGGUGGAGUUGUUCCUCGGGAAAUAAAGUGAAGACGACGAGGGCAAACGUGUAAAACUCUUCAAGUCCGAAUGGAGAAGUAGAAAGAGGAGGUUUCUGCUGUGCCUGAUGACAAUUUUUGAUUAUUCCACACACAAAAUAACAAUCUGGCUCCACGUUAGAGCACUAGUUGUGAUGUAUCCUAGUGUUGGUCGGAUUCUAAGGAAGGGCCAGAAGUUUCGUUGAGUCAAAACCACUCCAGAAAUGUGCUCCCGUCCUGGUUUAUUUCUCACAAAGCAGCAGGUAACCCAUUAGCUAAGGACAAUUCAAGCCAAUUCUAAGGCUGAGAACAUUAAACAUACCCCUGUCUGGAAUGAAUUCCUGAGACCAACCAGAAGGAAGCUUUUUAUACUGUGGGGAGUGCACCCCUUGGUAAUACCCUCACAUUCUUCCCAAUGGGAUACUUGGCUUGUAAUUAGCAACCCUUCAAGAUCAAAACUUCUACAAAGUCAACCAUGAACUUCUGUGGUGUGAAGCUCUCAAUGAGGUUAGACUGUUCACACUUGUACAUUGCACAUGCUAGAAGAAUUUAAAGUUGCAGUCCAAGAAAUCGCUAUCCUUGAAGAUGAUGGAGGAGACAUUAAACUCUUGGGUUCGUGGCUCCAGAUGUGAUUGCUUUUCUAGUUUCUGAACGCAUUCUACAAAACACUGGCUUGUCUCUGUUCCUGGGCCCUGUGUUUCAUUGUGUGGUGGGACUGCACACAGCUUUAAUAAUAUUUCUUCUGUAGAACUUGUCCUCUGGCAUGGCAUACCUUUGGACUUUUUGAUUUGUAUCCUAAUCUUGGAGCUCUCAAAGCCUACGUAUUUUAACAUCCUAAAGUUGCUUUUGUUAUAGGAAUGGAAAUCUAUCUAUCUAUCUAUUGUUAAUGAUGAUUGUUGGCAAGUAAUAGUUAUCUGAUACAUCAAUCAUAUAAAAAUGUGUAGACAAGCUGACAUCUUUCCUUCCCCAAGGCAAAUGGACUACCCUAGACCCUUGUCAAUUAAAUAAGUAGUGGUCAGAGCAGGAGUAACAUUUUCAUUAUAAGAUAUUUUAUACCUUUAGAACAUUUCCUUUCAGAUUUCCUUUUUUUUUUCCUUUCCCAAAGUGUGUUAUGUGCUUUGGUUCCUUAAUGUGCCAUUCUUUCCCCAAUUUACACCAAUCAGAAAUAAGCAGUCACUGAUAUUAAGUAGUCCUGAUUUUCAAAAAUUGCCAGGGAUGCAUGCCAGUUUUACAAUACUAAACUUAGAAGAUGUUCAUUUAAAACUCCUUUUCAUUUUCCUUUCUCUCUUUUCUUUUCAUUUUUCAAAAGGCUGUCUCUGACUUGAACAAAAUGAUGAUCUGGAUGCUUCUGUAUUUGUCUGUUAAGUUUCUCUGUUGAUAGAGGAAAGGGUUCAUUUCUCCUAGUCUCUAAUUCACAAAUAUUUGCUCACAGUUAUCCAUACUCAAACCAUUUCUUAGGCCAGUAUUUUUCCCCUUCCCUGCAUUUUAGUGGCUAGCUUUUGAAUUUGUGAUUUGCUGUUCCACAAAAAGUCUUCUAAAUAUUUAAAAAGCCUUAAACAUCUAUGAACUUGUUUUCUAAGUUAUUACAGAAUGUAUAAUUUUAUACUGCAUUUACUAUACUCCACAUAGAAGCAGAGGCGAAUAGACAUUUGCGUUCCUGUUCCGUACCAAUCCACCACAUGGUCUUGAAGGUGGGAAUGGAGAGAAGGGUGGGACUUCAGUACUUUUAUUUUGUAAACAAACAUGAAGAUGGUACAGAUGCAGGCCUAUUGAAAAUAAUUGUGUGGGCAAGCUCAUUCAAGCAGCUGGCAUGAGGCAUCAAUAUGCUAGAGAAGCAGGGAAAUCUUUUUAUUUUUACAACUCAUUGACAUGGCCAAUUAGACAUAAAUUGGGUUCCAUGAUGGAUGUGCACCCUGGAGUGCUUUGAUAAUUCACUAUAUGCAACACUAUUCCAAGACCAAUUCAUUACCUCUGCUGUUUUAUUGUGCAGGAGAGGUAAAAUGUAACAAUUAUUGGAAGCUAAAUUGGAGACGUAGACUUAUAGCGUCGUACUGAAGAAUAUUGCACACCAUCAACAUUUCAGGGGAAAGAGAUGUGUGUCUGCCUCCAUUUUAAUUAGGAGUUGUUACUAGAACCAGCUAACUGGCUCUGAAUGAUUUUUCCAAUAAGCUGUAUAGAACUGGGCAGAAAGGCAUGAGGGUUGGGGAGGGAGAACAUCUUUUGAAGGAUCAUCCCUUUUUUUUUUGGAACAAUGCAAAAUGAAGACUAUGUUAUUUUUUAGGCUAUGUGUUUGGCUCUGAUUUGGUCUUAAUUCUGCACCAUGCUUCUCCAUAUUGUUUCCUUUGGCUCUUCUUGAUACCAACACUGGGAAUUCUGUAUUAUAUACAAGUGUAACAUGCAUAUCAAUAGGUGAAAAUAAAUGGACUUUCAGAUAUUCUAAUUAGAUUAUCCACAGUAGAUUAAUGUUGUGAAAUAUUCAGAAAACGUGAAUAAAAUUGUGAUAUAAAAUUGA
RNA transcript from Dromiciops gliroides (monito del monte), 4790 nucleotides. It is a transcript of the gene named TAFA chemokine like family member 2, with no coding region annotated. The record is from RefSeq and is a predicted model, not a curated record. NCBI's taxonomy places the organism in Eukaryota, Metazoa, Chordata, Mammalia, Microbiotheria, Microbiotheriidae. The transcript has 7 exons.